GUGAAUCAAGGAAACAAGAGAAGAAUUCAAAAACUCGGAAAAAGAAGAAGUAAUGGCUACCGAAGAUCAGAAAGCGUUGAGGGAUUUUGCUACACCCAAGGUGACUGAGCUGCAGUCAAGUAUCACCAGGCCUGCUAUAGCUACGAACACCUUUGAAAUCAAGCCUGAGAUGAUUCAAAUGAUUCAAAAUUCGGUUCAGUUUGGGGUUUAGCAAAUGAUGAUCCG
This 225-nucleotide long non-coding RNA is filed under the name Panax ginseng (ginseng). RNAcentral describes it as "long non-coding RNA (PGIN_LNC001763)". The record is from RNAcentral. Lineage: Eukaryota; Viridiplantae; Streptophyta; Magnoliopsida; Apiales; Araliaceae.